GACGAACGCUGGCGGCGUGCUUAACACAUGCAAGUCGAACGGAAAGACCCUGCUUUUGUGGGGUGCUCGAGUGGCGAACGGGUGAGUAACACGUGAGUAACCUGCCCUUGACUUUGGGAUAACUUCAGGAAACUGGGGCUAAUACCGGAUAGGAGCUCCUGCUGCAUGGUGGGGGUUGGAAAGUUUCGGCGGUUGGGGAUGGACUCGCGGCUUAUCAGCUUGUUGGUGGGGUAGUGGCUUACCAAGGCUUUGACGGGUAGCCGGCCUGAGAGGGUGACCGGCGACAUUGGGAAUGAGAUACGGCCGAGAGUCCUACGGGAGGCAGCAGUGGGGAAUAUUGCACAAUGGGCGGAAGCCUGAUGCAGCAACGCCGCGUGCGGGAUGACGGCCUUCGGGAUGUAAACCGCUUUCGCCUGUGACGAAGCGUGAGUGACGGUAAUGGGUAAAGAAGCACCGGCUAACUACGUG
This 468-nucleotide ribosomal RNA is filed under the name uncultured bacterium. RNAcentral describes it as "partial 16S ribosomal RNA". It matches the Rfam family "Bacterial small subunit ribosomal RNA", at positions 28 to 507 of the family's 1533-position model. The record is from RNAcentral.